This 133-nucleotide ribosomal RNA is filed under the name Burkholderia cenocepacia. RNAcentral describes it as "partial 23S ribosomal RNA". It matches the Rfam family "Bacterial large subunit ribosomal RNA", at positions 2804 to 2925 of the family's 2925-position model. The record is from RNAcentral. Lineage: Bacteria; Pseudomonadati; Pseudomonadota; Betaproteobacteria; Burkholderiales; Burkholderiaceae.
AUGAGAUAUCCCUGGGGACUAGAUCCCCUUGAAGGGUCGUUCGAGACCAGGACGUUGAUAGGUCAGGUGUGUAAGCGCAGUAAUGCGUUCAGCUAACUGAUACUAAUUGCCCGUAAGGCUUGAUCCUAUAACA